UACGUAGGUGGCAAGCGUUGUCCGGAAUUAUUGGGCGUAAAGCGCGCGCAGGCGGUUCCUUAAGUCUGAUGUGAAAGCCCACGGCUCAACCGUGGAGGGUCAUUGGAAACUGGGGAACUUGAGUGCAGAAGAGGAAAGUGGAAUUCCACGUGUAGCGGUGAAAUGCGUAGAGAUGUGGAGGAACACCAGUGGCGAAGGCGACUUUCUGGUCUGUAACUGACGCUGAGGCGCGAAAGCGUGGGGAGCGAACAGG
RNAcentral lists this ribosomal RNA (253 nucleotides) under uncultured bacterium. Its description in RNAcentral is "partial 16S ribosomal RNA". It matches the Rfam family "Bacterial small subunit ribosomal RNA", at positions 524 to 776 of the family's 1533-position model. The record is from RNAcentral.